RNAcentral lists this ribosomal RNA (502 nucleotides) under uncultured Glomus. RNAcentral describes it as "SSU rRNA". It matches the Rfam family "Eukaryotic small subunit ribosomal RNA", at positions 569 to 1074 of the family's 1831-position model. The record is from RNAcentral. Lineage: Eukaryota; Fungi; Glomeromycota; Glomeromycetes; Glomerales; Glomeraceae.
AGCAGCCGCGGUAAUUCCAGCUCCAAUAGCGUAUAUUAAAGUUGUUGCAGUUAAAAAGCUCGUAGUUGAAUUUCGGGAUCAAUAUAUUGGUCAUGCUUAGGUAUGUACUGGUAUUAUUGAUUUCUCCCUUCUGAAGAACCAUGAUGUCAUUAAUUUGAUGUCGUGGGGAAUCAGGACUGUUACUUUGAAAAAAUUAGAGUGUUUAAAGCAGGCUUUCGCUUGAAUACAUUAGCAUGGAAUAAUGAAAUAGGACGUUUGAUUCUAUUUUGUUGGUUUCUAGGAUCGACGUAAUGAUUAAUAGGGAUAGUUGGGGGCAUUAGUAUUCAAUUGUCAGAGGUGAAAUUCUUGGAUUUAUUGAAGACUAACUACUGCGAAAGCAUUUGCCAAGGAUGUUUUCAUUAAUCAAGAACGAAAGUUAGGGGAUCGAAGACGAUCAGAUACCGUCGUAGUCUUAACCAUAAACUAUGCCGACUAGGGAUCGGAUGAUGUUAAUUUUUAAUGA